Molecule: ribosomal RNA, 541 nt
Filed under: Panna microdon (panna croaker)
Lineage: Eukaryota; Metazoa; Chordata; Actinopteri; Sciaenidae
Description: partial large subunit ribosomal RNA
Rfam family: Bacterial large subunit ribosomal RNA
Source: RNAcentral
AAUGAAUAAGAGGUCCUGCCUGCCCCGUGACCAUGAGUUUAACGGCCGCGGUAUUUUGACCGUGCAAAGGUAGCGCAAUCACUUGUCUUUUAAAUGAAGACCCGUAUGAACGGCAAGACGAGGGCUUAACUGUCUCCUUUUUCAAGUCAGUGAAAUUGAUCUUCCCGUGCAGAAGCGGGAAUUUUACCAUAAGACGAGAAGACCCUAUGGAGCUUUAGACACUAAGAUAGACCACGUCAAAACCCCCAACAAAGGACUGAACUAACUGGAUCCUAUCCUAAUGUCUUCGGUUGGGGCGACCACGGGGAACCAUAAAACCCCCGCGUGGAAUGAGAGCACCACCUGCUCCCACAACUAAGAGCUUCCGCUCUAAUAAACAGAACUUCUGACCAACAAGAUCCGGCAACGCCGAUCAACGAACCAAGUUACCCUAGGGAUAACAGCGCAAUCCUCUUUUAGAGCCCAUAUCGACAAGAGGGUUUACGACCUCGAUGUUGGAUCAGGGCAUCCUAAUGGUGCAACCGCUAUUAAGGGUUCGUUU